UUAGGAAUAUUCGUCAAUGGGGGGAACCCUGAACGAGCAAUGCCGCGUGAACGAAGAAGGUCCUCUGGAUUGUAAAGUUCUGUUGUAUGGAGAGAACGUUAUGAAUAGGAAAUGAUUCAUAAGUGACGGUACCAUAUAAGAAAGCCACGGCUAACUACGUGCCAGCAGCCGCGGUAAUACGUAGGUGGCGAGCGUUAUCCGGAUUUAUUGGGCGUAAAGCGUCCGCAGCCGGUAAAGUAAGUAUAGAAUAAAAGCCCGAGGCUUAACCUCGGUUCGUUCUAUAAACUGCUAUACUCGAGUGUGGUAGAGGCAAGUGGAAUUUCUAGUGUAGCGGUAGAAUGCGUAGAUAUUAGAAGGAACACCAGUGGCGAAGGCGACUUGCUGGGCCAUCACUGACGGUCAGGGACGAAAGCGUGGGGAGCGAAUAGG
RNAcentral lists this ribosomal RNA (429 nucleotides) under uncultured bacterium. Its description in RNAcentral is "bacterial SSU rRNA". It matches the Rfam family "Bacterial small subunit ribosomal RNA", at positions 355 to 776 of the family's 1533-position model. The record is from RNAcentral.